RNAcentral lists this long non-coding RNA (1649 nucleotides) under Gossypium barbadense (sea-island cotton). RNAcentral's name for it is "long non-coding RNA (GBAR_LNC009506)". The record is from RNAcentral. Lineage: Eukaryota; Viridiplantae; Streptophyta; Magnoliopsida; Malvales; Malvaceae.
UCAACCACUUGAAGUAGGAGGAUAAUUUCUUUUUCUAUUUUCUUGUUUCCUUCUUCCAUUCUUACCUCAAAUUUCACCACCAACCUUGCUCUUUCUUAAAUUCCAUUCUAAAAACCUCUACUCCAGCUAGUUUCCUUCAUCAUUUUCUUCCAACCACAACUUAAAAGUUUGUUGGGUAGAGUGAGAAAGCUUGAUUAUGAGUAAGAGAAAUGAUUUUUCCAUCAUCUCAUCAUGUUUAAAUUGAUUUUUUAUUUGCUUAGAAAGUAGUUAAGCCAUAUUAAUGGCUAUUUAUUAUUAUUAAUAUAAGUAUUUAUCGUCUAAUAAAGAGAAAGAAGUAGAGAGAGGGACUACAAGCAAUGUAAGGGAAAGCUUGUAGAUUGAGGAGACUUUUCUCUUAUUUUGGUAUAUUAAUGGUAAUUUCUUGUGGAAAUUUCAAGUUUCUUUGUUUAAAUGUGUUGUGUGCUUGAAUGGGUGAAUAUAAAUUAGCAUAUUAAUUCAUAAUGGUAAUUUUUAAUGUUGGCCAAGUGUAAAGAGUGUUGAAAUGGAGCUAUAGUUAAACUAAUGAGUUAUCAAACAUUUUAUAUUGUUUUGCAGUGAUAUGUAUGACUAGUGGACAUAAUUUCCAUGAUUGAAGUUUCAUGAAGUGGUGAUAACUAUGGUUGUGAUCAUUGAAAUUGUAUAUCAAUAAAAGUGUUAUGAAAUAGUUAAUGUGAUUUUUAAAAAAAAUGAAUUGAGAAUCUUAUAAUGCCUUUGUAAACUUAGUUAAAUAGCUAGGAUAUGGUUGACAUGUCAAUAAGGUAUGCAUAUGUUAGAAGAUGCAGUUUGAAACUAUGAUUGAUGCCAUAAGGCAAGUGUAUAUAGAUCCAUUUCUAUAGUAUUCAAAUGAUAACGCUUUUAGCAUAGUAUUUCAGAGAGUUUGGUUGGUUUGCCCCAAAUAUAUGAAAUUUGUUUUGCUAAGCUUACUAAGGACAACAAAAAUAAAAAUAUUGAAAAUGGAUUAUUCGGAGUAAAUUGAAUGUUAUAUGUCACUAUGAUAAAUACCAUAUUUUAUUAGUUCUUAUACCAUGGAUGGUAUUAAUGUAAUUGCAUAAAUAAUUAGAUUUGUUACCUUUAUAUGAGAAUUUUUUUUUUUUUUUUACAAUUCCUCCUCAUUUAUGCAAUCAUUAUCAAAGAGUUAAACUUUACACAUUGACCAAAAACAUGGUGGGAUGAGGUAAGUGUUUGUGAUUUCCAUUUGAACUUACUAAGUUGGUGCUUAUGCGUCGUUUUUGCGCGUAGAUUUUACAUGAAGGUUUUUUGGCUCACCCUAACCCUUGGGACAUCGCACCAUUGUGGGGCUAGAAUACUAGGAAAUUAGUUUAUAUAUGACUAGUGGCUAAAAUGGAACGUACUAAGGAGUCUAUUUCAUUUAUAUAUAUACUAGUUUCAUUACUUAAAAGUCUUGCUUUGAAGUGUAAUUUUUAAAAUUUGAUCCUUGAAGCAUGAUGUGUUGGCCAUAUAUUUUAAUUAGUGGCCUUAGCUUGAACUUAUUAACAUAUGUUCAUCUUGGUUUUAUGCUUUUGUUUUGCCAAAUGAAUGGUGGUAUACUGAAUAAUUUUUUGUAUUCAUUCAUCUUACUUCCAAAUGAAUGGUUUUAUGCUUCUUUUUUU